GUGCCAGCCGCCGCGGUAAUACGGAGGGCGCUAGCGUUGUUCGGAAUUACUGGGCGUAAAGCGCACGUAGGCGGCUAUUCAAGUCAGGGGUGAAAUCCCGGGGCUCAACCCCGGAACUGCCUUUGAAACUGGAUGGCUAGAAUCUUGGAGAGGCGAGUGGAAUUCCGAGUGUAGAGGUGAAAUUCGUAGAUAUUCGGAAGAACACCAGUGGCGAAGGCGACUCGCUGGACAAGUAUUGACGCUGAGGUGCGAAAGCGUGGGGAGCAAACAGGAUUAGAAACCCGAGUAGUCC
Molecule: ribosomal RNA, 292 nt
Filed under: uncultured bacterium
Lineage: Bacteria
Description: partial 16S ribosomal RNA
Rfam family: Bacterial small subunit ribosomal RNA
Source: RNAcentral